GAGAUAGGGCCUUCGGGCUCGACCUCCAACCCCAUAUCUACCUUCUCAUGUUGCCUCGGCGGGCCGCCGGAGCCCCUCGCGGGCGAAGGCCGUCGGCACUCGUGCUCUCGAGCGCCCGCCAGAGGACCACACAAACCCUGCUCAUCGUAGACUUCUGAGUGAGAAACACAAUAACUUCAAAACUUUCAACAACGGAUCUCUUGGUUCU
This 208-nucleotide unclassified non-coding RNA is filed under the name rhizosphere metagenome. RNAcentral describes it as "partial ribosomal RNA internal transcribed spacer region". The record is from RNAcentral.